This 394-nucleotide ribosomal RNA is filed under the name uncultured bacterium. RNAcentral describes it as "partial 16S ribosomal RNA". It matches the Rfam family "Bacterial small subunit ribosomal RNA", at positions 523 to 918 of the family's 1533-position model. The record is from RNAcentral.
AUACGUAGGGAGCGAGCGUUGUCCGGAAUUACUGGGCGUAAAGGGCGCGUAGGCGGCGCUUCAAGUCGUCUGUCAAAUGGAAGGGCUUAACCCUUUUUCGCAGGCGAAACUGGAGAGCUUGAGAAGCAGAGAGGCAAACAGAAUUCCUGGUGUAGCGGUGAAAUGCGUAGAUAUCAGGAAGAAUACCAGUGGCGAAGGCGGUUUGCUGGCUGCAUACUGACGCUGAAGCGCGAAAGCCAGGGGGGCGUACGGGAUUAGAUACCCCGGUAGUCCUGGCAGUAAGCGAUGUAUGCUGGGUGUGAGACUAGCGAUAGUUUCGUGCCGAAGUUAACGCGAUAAGCAUACCGCCUGGGGAGUACGGUCGCAAGAUUGAAACUCAAAGGAAUUGGCGGGG